RNAcentral lists this long non-coding RNA (254 nucleotides) under Panax ginseng (ginseng). Its description in RNAcentral is "long non-coding RNA (PGIN_LNC007119)". Lineage: Eukaryota; Viridiplantae; Streptophyta; Magnoliopsida; Apiales; Araliaceae. The record is from RNAcentral.
AGUGUGUCCUACCUAAGCUUAUUUGUUGGUCAGUCAUAAUAUCGGGAUAUUAUGUGAUAUGUUAAUUUAUUCAAUUAACCCUUGUUUUGAAGCGGUAUUCUAGAAUGAUAUCUGAAAUACAGGAGAUGAGCAAUGGAGAAAUCAUGAGGACAGGAAAGAUGGACUCUGAAAUGAAAGCAAGGUAUUCUCAACUCUUUGAAAUACCAGGUACGUAAAUUUCGGGGACGAAAUUUCAUAAGGAGGGGAGAUUGUAA